Molecule: long non-coding RNA, 371 nt
Filed under: Theobroma cacao (cacao)
Lineage: Eukaryota; Viridiplantae; Streptophyta; Magnoliopsida; Malvales; Malvaceae
Description: long non-coding RNA (TCAC_LNC000087)
Source: RNAcentral
AUUCUCUUCAAGCUCUCAUUUUGGACUGCGAUGGAGUCAUUCUAGAAUCCGAACACUUGCACCGCCAAGCUUACAACGAUGCUUUCUCUCACUUCAAUGUUCGUUGCCCUCCUUCUUCACAGCCUCUUAACUGGGAACCUGAAUUUUAUGAUGUGCUCCAGAACCGGAUUGGCGGUGGCAAACCCAAGAUGAGAUGGUUUUUGUUUUUAAUAUUUCUGGGUUUUUUUUAUUUUUCUUAUUUUUGGUUGUCGUUGAGAAUUUUUUUUGGUGUUUUUGAAGGUACUUCAAGGAACAUGGAUGGCCAUCUUCUACCAUAUUUGAAACACCGCCUGAGGGUGAUGCGGAGCGAGCCAAGUUAAUUGACACUCUUC